Molecule: non-coding RNA, 30 nt
Filed under: Rattus norvegicus (Norway rat)
Lineage: Eukaryota; Metazoa; Chordata; Mammalia; Rodentia; Muridae
Source: RNAcentral
UCUCUGUUGUACCCAGGUGAGCCUGACCAU